Molecule: unclassified non-coding RNA, 269 nt
Filed under: uncultured fungus
Lineage: Eukaryota; Fungi
Description: sequence contains ITS1, 5.8S rRNA gene
Rfam family: 5.8S ribosomal RNA (bases 221-269)
Source: RNAcentral
UUUCCGUAGGUGAACCUGCGGAAGGAUCAUUAGAGAAAUUAUAGAAAGUUGAGCUGGCCGAAAGGCAUGUGCUUGCUUUCUAAUUAUCUAUCCAUACACCUGUGCACCUUUGGGGAGAAUGGCCAGCUAGCCUCUAGCGAGUUAUUCUCCUCGUUUUUACACAAACUCUUAUUAUAACAUUGAACGUGAUCUAGUGCCGCAAGGCCUUAAUCAAAUAUACAACUUUUAACAACGGAUCUCUUGGCUCUCGCAUCGAUGAAGAACGCAGC